UUUAACUCAACAAAAGGGGAAAACAAUCUGCUUUAUUUCGUGGCUCUAAGGCUUUAUUUAUAGGAUUACAAGUUGUAGAGAUCCAAAGAAGAAUGUGCUAAAAACAAGACAUUGGAAAUAGAAACAAAGACUUGACUAAAUAAAGUCUUUGACUGAAACUUGGACUACCUCUUCAUAUAGCCACGACCAGGACUUUGAAAGGUGAAGAAUAUACUCCUGAUAUGGGCCAAGACAUGUCCCUUUGAGGCCUGGUCGAAAUCCAUCUUUUCUCUUAGCCAAUAUUUUAUCGGUUUCUCCAUUUGGGCUACACAAGCUCGUUUUUGAAUCUUUUUGAAAACCAUCAAGCCCAAUGAUUUUUUGGACAUUUAGAACAUGAAUAAUCACCUUUGGCAUGAUUGAAUUGACCGUUGGUUCAUCAGAAAGAAGGUUAGCCAUUUCGAGCUUCUCGGGUGGUCUGAAUUCGCGAGAACUGAAGAUCACCUGAUUUGUAAAUAGCAUAACUAUCACAUAUGAACUCCGUUUGAUCUGAUUCUUCUUUGAGGAGAUCCGUAAUUGAGUUGAGAACAUUCUCCAAGUGAUUUCAUGUGUAGAAGCCUCGUGGUUUAGCAGAUAUGAGUCAAACAAUGAACAUAUAUCAUUACUGCUUCCAAUGAUCAAACCAUGCAUGUCUGUUUUGCCCGGUGCGCUACCCCAUGGCACAUCAUUCCCUCCCUCAAUAAAGUGUAUAUGUUUAUUUGCUUGAUUAAACUGUUAGAUCUAUUUGUUUACUUGUAGUGAUGUGAUAAAAACAUAUAGAGCUAUUAGGUUGAUAAAUGAUAAACCGGUUUGUGAGAUGCAAUGAUGAGAUGCAUGUGGCGUGUGAAUGAAUGAGACCAUGUGAAUGGGUAACAGAGAAUGAUUGAGGUGUGUGUAUGUGACACCAAGAACGAGACCAUGUGAAUGGGUAACAGAUAAUGAUUGAUGUGUGUGUAUGUGACACUAAGAACUUAGAGUGUGGUCAUAUGAGGAUAUGGAGAAAUGUGGAAUGUGGCACCGGCAGGAUCGAGUCAUGCCGAGUCUAGGCAUAAGUAACUAUGGGACUGGAGAACGGAUAGUGCCUUACUGAGCCAAAGAGGCCGUGACCGGGUAGUCACAUAGGAGCUACGGAUCGUAGCCCAGUUUGGGCGCCCAUAGGAAACACAACGAAGGGGGUUUGUGAUGGCUCCCCCGGGGUGUGAAAUAGGUCUUACAAGUAUAGGUUGUUUGUGGCAUGCUAGUCUGUAUUAGGUUGUGACUGUGAUAAAUGUAUGCUUGUCCUGAUAUGAGUUCAUAGGUUCCUAGAACUUACCGUCACUGAGUAAUCUCAAUAUUCACCCCUCUCUUUUGUAGAUACGAACGGGGAAGUCAAGGAGUAAGAGUUUGGUGGUGUCAUCUUUCGAGUUUAUGGUUUAUUUUUAAGUUAUUCAUGACUUCAAACACUAUCUCUUUGCGUUUCAGGUUUUCGUUUAAGAUUAUGUUUAUGUAAGAUAAUGGUUUUAAUGGAAUAAAUAAAAUUUUGGACUCAAUGGAAUGUGGUGGAGGAAUAAGUCUGAUCUUGGGGGACGCAGUCCUUACAAUCAUAAUACCAAUUAACUAAAUCAACUAAACAAGAUUCUAUACAUUGAUAUUCCCUCUCAAGAUGAAUGUGUGUAAAUAUUGAUAACACCCAUCUCACUCAUGUUAUCCUGAAAUAGAGCUUGGUACGAUACCUUAGUCAAAAUUUCAGCUAGUUGAUAAUCGUACGCACAUACGUUGUUUUCAGCGUGCUAAGUUCUAUAGUCUCUAUCACCUUAUGGCAAUAAAACUCAACAUGUUUGGUUCUUUCAUGAAAAACGGAGUUACUAGCAAUGUGGAGAGUUGUAGUGUUAUCACAAUAGAGGAAAUACAGAGAAGAAAAAGGAACCCAUAGAGACACUACAUGAAAUGUGAGUAUUAAUAGCAGAAUAUGAUAGCGUUUUUUUCGAUUUUGCUAUGAUUGACAUACUUCUUACUUUUAGAUAGCGCUUACAAAAUUGCAAACGCUAUGCAAAACUAAAACGGAAAAAUAAUUGAUUUUUCCUCCCACACUUGUUUCCCUUUCUCUUUCACUCCAUUUUAUUUGCCUCCAAAAAUCUUAAACCCUAAAAUCAAAAUUUUAAGCACAACCUCUAAACUCUAUACAAAAAUUUUAGACUCUAAUAUUUUAAUAUGAAAUUUCAAAUUUAACUUCAAAUCUUAAAUAUAAACUCAAAAAAUAUAUAUUUUUAGAAAUUAGACUCAAAUCUUAAAUCAAUAUCCCAAACCUUUAACUUUCAAAUCCUCUACUCAAACAUUUAUUCUAAACACCAAACUUGAAAACUAAUUUUAAAUUAAUCAUAUAUCCUAAACUAUAACUAAAAAUAGUAAAAUUUUAAUAUUUUUUAUUAGUUCUAAGAAUAAUCAUAUACCAUAAGCUCUAAUUAGAAAUCUUAUUUUCUAUGCAUACACUACAAAAAAGGAGAUAUUGUUACAAUUUUCUGGUUAAAUUAAAAUUUUUUUUUUCCGAUUACGGAACGGAGAAGAAAUGAAGAAGAAGCAAUCGAAAUCUGGACCUUCUGUACCAGAGACUAAUAGAGGAAGAGAUCGAGUUUCCUUUAUGAUUUCUUCUUCGAUUGGCAUGAUGAAGCAGCUUCAGUGUCGGAGAUCAAAAUCAUGCAAUUCUGAAUCCAAGCGCUUCGCAAUCGGAGAUCAAAGCAUGCAAUUCAGAAGCCAAAAACUUCACUGUGGGACUCUUCGUUUAGGCUCAAAUCACGCGUUCUCCUGUGGAGAAACCGAUAUUAUUUAGUGAGGAAGGAGCGGCCAAUGCAGAGGAGCUGAGACGGAACAAGAAGAAAUGAAGAAGCAAUCCAAAUCUCGACCAAAAUAGAGACUCAUAGAGGAAGAGGUCUAGUUUUCUUCUUGAUUGCUUCUUUGAUUGGCAUUCGGCAUUCACGCUUUCAUUGGCAAGGUGAAGAGAUAAAAACCAUUUUUUCCUAUUUUGAUUUUGAACUAUUAAGUAAAUGGGGAUGAUUUUUCUUCUGAUUUUCAUUGGUAUAACAUGGAUCAAUUAGUUCAUUCCGAUCAAUUAGUUCAUUGGUUUAGGAGGAUUGCAGAGUUAAGUUCAUUCCGAUCAAUUAGUUCGAAAUCCUAACUAACUAAUUUUGAAAAUAACAUUGUAUUAAGAUUAUUUUAGAGAUUCAAACUAAAUCAUUUUUAAAAGUUUGAAAUUCAAACCAAUAUAUACCUUUUUUAAUGUACAUCAAAUAUGAUAUUAAUUGAGAUCUUUAAACAA
This is a long non-coding RNA of Brassica rapa (field mustard), 3307 nucleotides long. RefSeq lists it as uncharacterized. The record is from RefSeq and is a predicted model, not a curated record. NCBI's taxonomy places the organism in Eukaryota, Viridiplantae, Streptophyta, Magnoliopsida, Brassicales, Brassicaceae.